Molecule: long non-coding RNA, 267 nt
Filed under: Capsicum annuum
Lineage: Eukaryota; Viridiplantae; Streptophyta; Magnoliopsida; Solanales; Solanaceae
Description: long non-coding RNA (CANN_LNC018556)
Source: RNAcentral
GGGUGCAUCAAUACCCCUAGAUCGUUUCCAGUCCUCGUACCAAUAUAUAGCCUCCCCUUUAAAUCUAUACGUCGCUAACUCCACUGUCUCUCUACCCGUUACAUGCAUAACAUCUAAGGCCCUUUGAAUUUGAUCAAUAAAGUCCUAUGGAUCCCCAUUAAGAUCUCAUCCAGUAAAAGUGGGAGGAUCCAUCUUAAUAAAAUCCUGUGUUUGAAGGCUAGCCGCCCUAUCUGUACCACUAGGACCCGUGGUAGGAAUGACUUGCCC